AGGAAAGCACAAGAAAUGGCUCUAGGCCUUAAUUUGUCCCUUUGAGGAAUAGGGACAGUGGCAUAGGCAAGGCACCCAAAUGCUCUCAAAUGAGAAUAGGUUGGAGCUUUCCCAUACAAAAUUUCAUUAGGAGACUUGUUGUGAAGCAAUCUGGAUGGUAUUCUGUUUAGGAGGUAAGUGGCGGUCAUUAAAAAGUCCCCCCAGAAAGACACAGGUAGUCCAGAUUGGAAAAGUAAAGCUCUACAUGUUUCAAGGAGGGUUCUAUGCUUUCUUUCGACAACACCAUUCUGUUGAGGAGAAUGAGGGCAGGUGGUUUGAUGAAUAAUCCCUUGGCUACUAAAAAAAGAGACACCCUAAAUUCUAGACCCCAAUUCUAAAGCGUUGUCACUUUUAACAGUUUGAACCACAACAUUAAAUUGGGUUUUAACCAAACACAGGAAUGAUUUAGGCAAAGAAAAAGCAUUGCUUUUAGAUCCCAUUAAGUGUGUCCAGGUUUCCCUAGAGAAGUCAUCAACUAUUGUAAGGAAAUAUCUACAACCAGAAGAAGUAGGAGUAUGAUAAGGCCCCCAAGUAUCCACAUGAAUUAAUUGAAAAGGUCUAGGGAAAUAUCUACAACCAGAAGAAGUAGGAGUAUGAUAAGGCCCCCAAGUAUCUACAUGAAUUAAUUGAAAAGGUCUGGAGGUGCUUAUAGAACUAUCAGGAAAUGAGAGUCUAGUCUAUCUUGCCAUAGGACAG
This 735-nucleotide long non-coding RNA is filed under the name Nicotiana benthamiana. RNAcentral's name for it is "long non-coding RNA (NBEN_LNC003903)". The record is from RNAcentral. Lineage: Eukaryota; Viridiplantae; Streptophyta; Magnoliopsida; Solanales; Solanaceae.